Molecule: ribosomal RNA, 253 nt
Filed under: uncultured bacterium
Lineage: Bacteria
Description: partial 16S ribosomal RNA
Rfam family: Bacterial small subunit ribosomal RNA
Source: RNAcentral
UACGUAGGGGGCAAGCGUUGUCCGGAAUCAUUGGGCGUAAAGAGCGCGUAGGCGGUCCGGUAAGUCCGCUCUGAAAGUCCGGGGCUCAACCCCGGGAGGCGGGCGGAUACUGUCGGGCUAGAGUCCGGAAGAGGCGAGUGGAAUUCCUGGUGUAGCGGUGAAAUGCGCAGAUAUCAGGAGGAACACCAAUGGCGAAGGCAGCUCGCUGGGACGGUACUGACGCUGAUGAGCGAAAGCUAGGGGAGCAAACGGG